GAGUGUGAUCAUAUCAGUAUUAAUGCAUCGGAUCCCAUCGAAACUCCACAGCUAAGCACACUUGGGCUAGAGUAGUACUAGGAUGGGUGACCUCCCAGGAAGUCCUGGUGUUGCACCCU
Non-coding RNA from Picea glauca (white spruce), 119 nucleotides. Lineage: Eukaryota; Viridiplantae; Streptophyta; Pinopsida; Pinales; Pinaceae. The record is from Rfam.